AGGAAUCAGGGAAGAUUAAAAGCUGAGCAGAAUGUAAUAUCUCUGAAUUACCUUCUGACCUUUUUGAGGCUGCAACCAGAGAUAAAUAAAAUUCAAGAUACCUCAGGCUCUCAGCAAGUCACAAGAAAACAAGAAAACAUGAUGCUGUCUGAGCAAUUGGUACAGGAAGCCUGGACACAUUGCUGAGGAAAUCAGAACUUCUUUGCAAAAGAUGGUGACAAUCUGUGGCCAAGAUGCUGCCGGGAGAUGAUUACAGGCACAGGAGAGGAGUUUCAGGCAGUUCCACUAAGAAAGUUCCCAUCUCAAGAGGAUGCUGUUUGAUUUCUUGUUAUUCACCAUCCGUGUGAUCCAUGGGGGGAAGAAAAGGUAUUAAAGAAGAGAAGCAUAUUAAUGUUAUUACUCCUUUCUAACUUUACAGAGUGGCUACUCUUUUAAAUUCUUUUGAGACAAACACCUGAAAGAAAAUGUUGAUAUGUGAGAUAAGCAAUAAGCAGUGUUUGAAUACAUGCAUAUGUUAAAGGACACCAUUAAAAUUAAAAAUAACUCUAGAAAGGAAACAAAG
Molecule: long non-coding RNA, 562 nt
Filed under: Homo sapiens (human)
Lineage: Eukaryota; Metazoa; Chordata; Mammalia; Primates; Hominidae
Description: HSALNT0119895
Source: RNAcentral